Molecule: transfer RNA, 64 nt
Filed under: Scydosella musawasensis
Lineage: Eukaryota; Metazoa; Arthropoda; Insecta; Coleoptera; Ptiliidae
Description: tRNA-Pro
Source: RNAcentral
CAGAAUAUAGUUUAUAAAAAUAUUAAUUUUGGAGAUUAAAGUUAAAAGUUAAUUUUUAUUCUGA